This is a long non-coding RNA of Cuculus canorus (common cuckoo), 1464 nucleotides long. RefSeq lists it as uncharacterized. Lineage: Eukaryota; Metazoa; Chordata; Aves; Cuculiformes; Cuculidae. The record is from RefSeq and is a predicted model, not a curated record. The transcript has 4 exons.
CAGGGUGCGGGGCCAGGCAGAGCGGGGCAAGAUGGCGGCGUGAGAGGGAGCGGCCGGGGCCGCCGCGGCUCCGCGGCUCGGGCCGCGUCAGGCUCACUGAAGAGAAUGCGGAUUGAGAGAAAAUAAUGCUCUCCAGGUCUGUUUUUCUACAUCUUUAUAACAAGGAUAAGACUCUCCCAACAGUGGGAGCAUGGAUGAUCAAGCUCAUGAUCAGCUGAAAUAUUUGAGUGCCUCAGAGCGAAGGUGAUGGUGACGUUUACUGUAUUUUCAUGAUCUACUUGCUACUUCUAACAUCAUUGGAGAGUUGAGCAUUGUCACUGGGAGAUUAUUUCUGAACUCGGUCAGCUGAAGUAUUAAGAUCCUCUCCUGACCUUCAAGAAGAAGGUGGUCCUGUUGCUUGCUCAUAGGCUGUGAGAUGUGGGUGUUUCUCUUCUAGCAAGCAAAAGCCUGCCCUUCACUUCCAUGGAGCUGAACGAACAAAGAUUUCUCGUCUUCCUGUUUCAGCCAUUUCACCCAACAUUUGAUACACCAGAUGACUUCUUCCACAGAAGUACCCCAUCUUUUUAUCAACACUCAGAAGCAGAGUAACAGAAAUCAGCGUUUUUUUCCCUGAGGAAAUGUGUUAUGUGCCAGCUCUUCAUCCAGCUUUCUGCAUUCUGUUUUAAAAUGAGAAAUGCUUCGUAAUGAGAAACAAAGGAAGCUAGUGUUUUUUGCUGAGGUCUCUCUCUUCAUUUCAGGAAGGUUAAGUACUUCACUCUGUCACGCUGGAAUUCCUAGCAGAUAAAGUAUCUGCAUGCAUUGCUAUGUCAGGCUGUCUUGACACACAUAAAAAGUUGCAACAGGAAAACCAGAACGUAUUUUCUGCUGUGACAUGAGUAGGAAACUUAGUAAACAACUGACAACAUCCCAUGCAGGUAUUUUCUAGCGUAAGACGCAGGCUUGACUUUGUACAUAAAUGUCUUGUUGUCAACUCACAUAAAGCAGCUGAUGCACAGGAAAAAAUGCAGAAUCACCUUGUCUACAGUGUGUAAAUGCAUCAUCCCAGUCUGUGAUCAAACUAUAUAUUUGCAUGUGUAAACCUAUGUAAGUGCUGGAUAUGAAGAGCUUUCACCAGGAGGAGAAAUUACUCCACUGCAUUUCAUUUUUAGCGAAGAAAAAUGAAGCUAUAAAGCCUCUGAGGUAACAGAAAUAAUUAUUAGGUUUAUGUUAAAUCAUUCCCUCCUUCUGGCUUAUUUUGAAACCUUAGCAGCAACAGGAACAAAACCAUUCUACGAUAGAAGAGAUGGGGCAGAACUUUUUUCUUUAUUAAAGAAAUUAACUUCUGGUGGGAUGGAAAAGACCAGAGAUGUAAAGUUAAAGUUUAUCCCCUCAGCUUCCUUGGCACAGUUUCAGCUUUUCAUACUGUUGAUGGAAUCACCUUUUUGAUUCUUCUCUGACUGAAAACUGAUAUGACCGAUAUGUUUC